AAAAAACAUGGAACUUCACGUCACCUAAAAAAAUGAAGAAUUAAGUAUGUGGAGGUUUGCCCAGGAGGGUUUGCUGCUCCAGCCUGAGCUCAGAGGGUCAGCUCCGUCAGCCGCCCCCCACCGGCCCCGUGCGUGCAGACACCAGGGAUUUGCACCGUGACUUCCCAGCCAGUGAAAAUAACCAUGUUAUUCUGAUGGGCAGUUGGCAGCCAUGCACAGAAGCUGAGACGUGUCUGGUGGUGAGUGAGCACCAGGGCUGGGGAAGCCGACGCUCGCAGUCCCGUGUCCCCGUGCAGUCCAGGCCCCCGGGGACUCGCUGGAGCUCAGCAGCAGCAGGGCUGGAAGCAAACAUAAAGGGCCUCUGAGCGGCCAGAAGGAAAGCCAGUGGCAUGUGCUGCAACGCCCGGACUUAGCAGGCUCACGCCCCGAGGCCCUGCCCGUGCCCUCCGCACGUACGCUGCCCUUCACCUCCGAGUGGACUUGGUUAUUAGGCUUCCUGGCGCAUCGAGGAUUAGGAGGGAAAGUUCACAGGCAGGAAACCACCAGAACGUCCCUCGGCGACGUUGACCAAUGGUGCUGUGUUCCUGCUGUGGGGUUCUACUCGGUGAUGAGAAGCAACAAGCUGUUGAUUCACCCAAUGACCCGGACGAACUUGGAGGGCACUCGGCUGAAUGGAAGCAGCGUGUGAGCGUUACAGAGCAUCCCCAAGAUACUUAUGCCUUAAACCGAAGACCAAAUACUGCUGGUUCCUGCCUCCUGUCUCUUCACGGCAUCAUUAGUCGUUUUCAGGAGCUGCGUUCUGUAAGUGGAUCUGCUAGCUUGUCACUGCUGAGUUCUGAGUUACCAGUGACACCUGAGGAAAAGCCCAGAAUAGCUCCAGCCAGCCAGCAGUGUGUGUGCAGGGAGAGAGGAGACUCACGGAUUUACGGGGCACCGUGGGGCUCUCUUCUACAAACCCCAGCAAAAGCUUGUAUCUUUGUCCAAGGAGGUACGAACACUUUGCUGCUUAUAGAUCCUUCCCAGCUCUCCUGUGAGGAGGACGCCAAGCAGAAGUUGGUGCUGUCAGGCUGCAGAUGGGUACAACCGAGGCACGGGACAGUCGUCACAACUUCAAGAAAAUUAAGUUCUUUAUAAGUAGGAGCUCUGAAUCCAAUAGAUGCAAGGGAAGUAGUGAAGUGGGAAGAGUGAAUCAUGUGUUCACACAUUCAUUUAUUCAACAGGCUUCAGUGAGCCCCUGUGUUGCCAGGCUUUUUGCCAGGAUGGGGAGAGAUACAAAGAUUAAUAAAGCAGGACUCCCACUCUCAAAAACCCUAAGUCUGGUUGAAGAAGCAGAUGCUUCAGCAAAUAAUUUCAGUGUUAUAUGUGCAGGGCCGCCCUGUACAGUUGCUCAGGUGCUUCACUGCACAAAUGUGCUUGGCUGAAGGGGCAAGUGGGACCUGAAAUCUAGCCUUAGUCUGCUGGCCAAGCCUUUGCCCUGGUGAGGAGCAGGGUCUGUCCAAGAAAGGGGUACCUUUUUCUGGUGGUGAAAAAUGUAGGUGAGCUCUGCUGUAGCCAUGGGACCCUAGUCCCACAUUUCUGUAGCAUCAUCUCCCAUAAACCAUUCCAGGUACUAAUCACAAAUGGAUGGCAGACCCUGUGCUCCCUCCCUCCCUGGGCCUCAACCUCCCCUCUGCAGUGUGGGGGUGAGCCUUCUUGUACCAGUCUAGGUGAGCGUGAUUUCUUGCAGAGAACCCUCGGGGUGAUGAUUCCUGCCUUUACUCCUGUAGGUGUGAUAUUCAGUAAAGGAAGGAUAUUCCAAAGGGGGAGUCCUGGACUUUAAUCAGGACAGAAGGGCUGCCUGAGCCCCUGUGCCCAAAAGGUGGAGUACGUCAUGCCCAGUACUGGAGACCAUUCUGGGGGCAGCGUGA
This is a long non-coding RNA of Leptonychotes weddellii (Weddell seal), 1907 nucleotides long. RefSeq lists it as uncharacterized. The record is from RefSeq and is a predicted model, not a curated record. NCBI's taxonomy places the organism in Eukaryota, Metazoa, Chordata, Mammalia, Carnivora, Phocidae.